GUGGGGAAUCUUCCGCAAUGGACGAAAGUCUGACGGAGCAACGCCGCGUGAGUGAAGAAGGUUUUCGGAUCGUAAAGCUCUUUCGUUAGGGACGAACGUGCUCUUUGUGAAUAAUGAGGAGUAAUGACGGUACCUAAAUAAGAAGCCACGGCUAACUACGUGCCAGCAGCCGCGGUAAUACGUAGGUGGCAAGCGUUGUCCGGAAUUAUUGGGCGUAAAGCGCGCGCAGGCGGGAUAUCAAGUCUGUCUUAAAAGUGCGAGGCUCAACCUCGUGAGGGGACAGAAACUGGUAUUCUUGAGUGUCGGAGAGGAAAGUGGAAUUCCAAGUGUAGCGGUGAAAUGCGUAGAGAUUUGGAAGAACACCAGUGGCGAAGGCGACUUUCUGGACGAUGUCUGACGCUGAGGCGCGAAAGCUAGGGGAGCGAACGGGAGUAGAAACCCGAGUAGUCC
Molecule: ribosomal RNA, 450 nt
Filed under: uncultured bacterium
Lineage: Bacteria
Description: partial 16S ribosomal RNA
Rfam family: Bacterial small subunit ribosomal RNA
Source: RNAcentral